RNAcentral lists this ribosomal RNA (749 nucleotides) under uncultured cyanobacterium. Its description in RNAcentral is "bacterial SSU rRNA". It matches the Rfam family "Bacterial small subunit ribosomal RNA", at positions 8 to 796 of the family's 1533-position model. Lineage: Bacteria; Bacillati; Cyanobacteriota. The record is from RNAcentral.
AGAGUUUGAUCCUGGCUCAGGAUGAACGCUGGCGGUAUGCUUAACACAUGCAAGUCGAACGCAGUCCUUCGGGGCUGAGUGGCGGACGGGUGAGUAACGCGUGAGAAUCUGCCUAAAGGACUGGGACAACAGCUGGAAACGGCUGCUAAUACCAGAUAUGCCAGAAAGUGAAAAGGGGUAACCCGCCUUUUGAUGAGCUCGCGUCUGAUUAGCUAGUUGGUAGGGUAAAGGCCUACCAAGGCUCCGAUCAGUAACUGGUCUGAGAGGAUGUCCAGUCACACUGGGACUGAGACACGGCCCAGACUCCUACGGGAGGCAGCAGUGGGGAAUUUUCCGCAAUGGGCGCAAGCCUGACGGAGCAAUACCGCGUGAGGGAGGAAGGCUCUUGGGUCGUAAACCUCUUUUCUCAGGGAAGAACACAAUGACGGUACCUGAGGAAUCAGCAUCGGCUAACUCCGUGCCAGCAGCCGCGGUAAUACGGAGGAUGCAAGCGUUAUCCGGAAUGAUUGGGCGUAAAGCGUCCGCAGGUGGCAGUUCAAGUCUGCUGUCAAAGACCGGGGCUUAACUUCGGAAAGGCAGUGGAAACUGAACAGCUAGAGUAUGGUAGGGGCAGAGGGAAUUCCUGGUGUAGCGGUGAAAUGCGUAGAGAUCAGGAAGAACAUCGGUGGCGAAGGCGCUCUGCUGGACCAUAACUGACACUCAGGGACGAAAGCUAGGGGAGCGAAUGGGAUUAGAUACCCCCGUAGUCC